Molecule: long non-coding RNA, 2773 nt
Filed under: Apteryx haastii (Great spotted kiwi)
Lineage: Eukaryota; Metazoa; Chordata; Aves; Apterygiformes; Apterygidae
Description: lncRNA (ENSAHAG00000019659.1)
Source: RNAcentral
CAUCUCAACUGUAGAGAGGAAAAAAACCAUUCUUCUUUUAACUACGAGAAACUGAGGAGUGGGACAAAGCUUAACGCCUGGAAAGAUGAGAUUAAAGGAGGACACCGUAAUCUUGACAUUAGGAGACCCGGGGUGGGGGGAGCAGCCAGGGGCUCGCUGCAGGAAAGCAGAGGUAGGGAAGAGCGGUUUCGGGGAUCAAGACUUCACAGCAGCCGAGGGAGAACAAGAACCUGGUGCGUUGUCACCAGCGAGACGUUCGGCGCCGCAGCACCACCUCUUCCAGCAACUACAGUUCUCCCCCAGCCCGUAGCUGCCAGCAGCUCAUCAGAGGAAAGACGCGGCGCUUCCAGGCGUCACCGCCGCCCCCUCCCUGCGCGCAGCCCGCAGCUCACCGCCCCCGCGCCAGGGACCCUCGGCCGGGCCGCGGGCGGCUCCCGCCAAACCCCGGACGCGGCCCGCUCCGCCGACAGGGGGCCGCUCCCGCCGCCCUUGAGCAACGGACGGGCGCUGAGGGGACGCGCGCGGCGGGGCGGCCGCCGCCACACCGGCUCCCGGCCCCCCCCCAGGGACGGCCCCGACCGCCGCCGGCUCCUCCCCCCCCUCUACGGGGCACCGCGAGGCCGCGCUCAGCCGCCCCAGGACGCGCGCGGCCGGCAGGAUACGCACCCACCGUCAGCCCGCCCGCCCCCGCCGGGCCCUGCGGCCGCCGAGCCCCCCCGGCUCGCGGCGGCUCCUAGCCGGUCGCCACACCGCGUCGCCUCGCGCCGCGCAUGCGCAAGGCGCCCGCGCCCGCGCCCCCUGGCGCAGCCCCGAGGCGGCGCUGCGCUCCGCUCCGCCGCGCCCGCCCUUCCCCUCACCGAGCCUGGGCCCAGGGCGCCGGCUGUGCCGUCACCGUCCCCGAUCUGGGACUCUCUCCCAAACCCUCUCCACGCCUCAGUUUUGCCAAAUUCACGCGAUCAUUUUAUCCGCACGGGCGCGUUUCGUCGCUGGGUCACGCGCCCCGUGGGCGCGAGCCUGCGGGCCGGGCGGCGGCGGGCUGAGGGCGGAACGCGCCGCGCCGCGGUCUCCUCAGGGCGGGCCGGCUCCGCGGGGCUCCGCGUCCUCGGCGCUGCGGGCCGCCGCUGUGGAGGGAGGGAGCCGCCGGGGCUCCCGGGCCCCGGGGCGCCAGCGCGGCGCUGCCCGCGGCUGCCGGCGGCCUCGCCCGCGCUCCCGCCCGUGAAGAGCGAGGGCUGCGGGCAGAGGCGGCCGCUGUCGGUAACGGCUCCGUCCACGGAACGGACGCUGCCGCGGGCUGCCGCGGCUCCCCAGCACCGUCCCCCAUCGCAGAAUUUACGUCGUCACCAAACGCACAGCCAGACGCGUACCGAGGAACGCAGACAGGACCUGGUCAUGACUGAGGCUCUUCUGUGUUACAGCACUACAGUGAAUAAAGAGUAACGUGUUUCACCCUUUGCAGUUAAUAUAUUCGACAAAUCUUAUUGUACAUUCUUUACGGAACUAGUCCUGUUUUAACAAUCUGAAUAUUAAUAAUGUGAUUUAGCUGGACCUUACUGCCAAAGCAGACUGUGAGUCAUCUUUAUUACCAUCAUCUUUAUGACAGAAGAAAUGACACCAAUCUGUCUUAGGCACUUACGAAAUAUGCUCGACUCAUCCACUUGGUCUACAGCACUUCCAUUGGCAACCACAUUUCAAAAGGCAACCAAUUUAACAGGUUUACUUUUCAGAAAUCAUUCCUGCAAGCGGAAUGCAAUUUGUUGGUACUUCAGUUCCUUCCUGUCAUGUGAAUUAUUUUUAAAUACAUCAUUAACUAUGUUAAUGUAGCAUUCUUUUCUUGACAAUUUCCUUCAUUGUCUAUAUGGGAGCUAGGCAAACACUCUGUACAUACUGUCCACAUUAAGUGCAUUUCUUUGAUGUAUGAUUAUAUAACACUUUUAUAAAGAUCUCAAAAUACCUCACAAACAUUAAACUGGUGGAAAGUACAUUAACGAUUAUACACAGAAGUAAACCAAGAGAAAGGUUCAGUGACUUGCCAAAGUCAUGCAGUGAAUCAAAAAAACAGCUGGAAAAGUAACAACUCAGUCAUAACUGCAUGUUCUCACUUCUCUUCAGAUUGUUAUAAGAGACUGUGUAAGGAAAAGCACAGUUUUAAAACAAAGCAUAAAUACUAUUUAAUUCCCUGCAAAAAAUUAUUCAUGGGAGCAGUUUAUCUUGCCCUCUGUCCAAUGUGACAGAUAUCAUUUCCUUCUGUAGCAAAAAAGUCUCAAGUGUUGGGUUACUUGAGAACAGAGUAUGUGGCACUGCGUCAGAGUCUUAAAAAAAAAAACAAACCUGUCUUCUGCAAUACCAGAAAACUUAUUUUUUAAAUAUGAGAUACUGGAUCAGAAAAACAUCACAGAAAUCUGAAUGGAAUUAUGGCUGAGAGAAACAUUGUUGCAGCUAACUAAUUUAAAAUGAAGAAUAUGAGUCAGAACAAGCCCAGAAAUAUAGCUACUAUCAAUCAAGCCAGUUCUACCAAAGAUGGUUAAUUUGGGCAAUACAGCCAACAGAAAUUUGUGUAACGAAAGUUAUCACAUUCAUUUUUUCUGAAUGUACAUACUAAAUAUAAAAAUUUCUGGUUUACCUUGAAAUUAUCUUGGUAGCUCUAGAAGAGUUAUAUUGCCAAAUAGCAUAAUUGUGCUGUUACUGAUUUCAACCUUUAGCCCUCAAGUUUGUUAAAUCUAAAACAUGCAGAAAAAAUACAAUGCAAGUCUAAUAAACAAAGUCCCCAUGGCCA